UUUCUUUAUGGACAGCCACAUCUUUCUGUACAGGACACUCUCCUGCCAUUGUCUCUGGUUUGUGUGUCGUAUGGCUAUUUUGUAUGCAAGAGUCCUGGUCCUUUCCCAGGAUUGCCUUGCAGGCUGUACCCCAUGGACCACCCUUCACCACCAGUCAUGGGCUAUAGGCCACAUCCCCCUCCUCCACCUACUCUAUUUGUUAAGAUGACCUGAACUGGACGAGUGGCUGGUAAAGUAUAUUCAUCUUCUUCAUGAUUGACUUUGUGGCAAUGAUGUAGAGACAGUUGUGAGUCUUGGCAAUCCAACUACAAACUGCCUGAGGACACUGUAGCAUGUCUCAAGUUUCUCAGGACAUACAUACAAUGGGCAGUGUCAUGUCCCUGUAAUACAGUGAGCUAUACGUUUCUCUUGUCAAAUGAAAGAGGAUUUUUUACACAAAAGCAGAUG
Molecule: long non-coding RNA, 447 nt
Filed under: Felis catus (domestic cat)
Lineage: Eukaryota; Metazoa; Chordata; Mammalia; Carnivora; Felidae
Description: lncRNA (ENSFCAG00000051667.1)
Source: RNAcentral